CAUCACCAGAUGAGAAUAUGUAUGGAUUCAUGAACAAGAAAAUUGCUUAACCAUUUGAUCAAGAGAGAUUGGAAAAUCAAGAUGAAGCAGGUCUGGGUGAAAGAGCUGUGAAUGGAUUAAUGGAACAGAAAGGAGGUGUGGAGAUCCUUCUAUUACAUGUUAAUGAUCACCAGGGAACAUCCACUACAAUAGAACAUCCCACUAAAUCACCAGUAGACACAAGAGAAUAUGUGGCCAGUUGACUUUGGCCAGCCUCUGUCAUUAGAUGUCAAUGUUCAAACAACGGUACAUGAAUGGCAUAGCCCUGGUAGCAGGAGUGGGGGCUAUGCAUGGAUCCAGCAAUACACACUCCCACUCCACAACAUUGACCCAGCCACCAAGGCUGACAAAAUAUUCAACCUUCCAGCAACAGAAACCAAGGAUGACCCUUAUCCCUGCCCAGGUAUGGUAUUAGCCCUUGAGACUAACCAGCCAUGUGGUGGGAAGUUGAAUAUCUUCUCUACUAGUCCCAUCAGAUCAUGCACCAUCCAGAAGCUGCCACACUAACAGAGUGAUGGAAAGGCCUGUUGAAGGCAUAGUGGAUGAGCCACACCAUUGCAAGGUAAUGUCAUCGGAGGUUUAUUUAGCAUGUGUAUUACACCCAGAAGAAUGGUGUCCCAUCCUUGCAAGGUAAUGUCAUCAUCAGAUUCUCCUGGGUGUAAUAUACAUGCUAAACAAACAAUCAUUAUAUGAUGCUGUGUCCCCAAGAGGUAAAAUAUGUGGGAGCUAAGGAGUGGAAGCAGCAAUAGCCUCACUUACCAUCAAUACAAUUGACUCCUUAGGGAACUUGUGCCUAGGCUCUGUGGGUUUAGAGGUCCUGGUGCCCAAAGGAGAUGUGCUUCCAUCAGGGAAUACAACAAGCAUUCAAUUGAACAUGAGGUUAAGGCUGCCACUUGGGAGCAUCAGGCUCCUCAUGCCAAGAGAUCACCAAGCAAAAAGAGGAAUCACCGUACCAUGAGCAUUAAUCAAUCCCAUUCUUCAGAAGGAGAUGGGACUGCUGACACAAGGCCACAGAGAGGCCCCCAGAUAACUUGCCUGGGUGUCCCUUAGAAUUCCCUUGCCCAUUUUUUAAUAAUAGAUGGAUAAAUGCAACAGUCUCCACCUAACAAAGGCAUAAUGAUGGGACUUCUCAAGAGUGAGAAGCUAGGUCAUUCCACCAGCCAAGUAGACCAGCAGAGGUACCAAAAAGAGACAGGAAAUCUAGACUGUAAAGUAAAACAGGAAGAUUCCCCAGGAACAGAAGCCAACUGUGAUCCUAGAGGAGCUUCUCCUUAACAUGCAGAAAGAAGUGGAUCCAUGAAGCACAAGAGCUGAGCUGUCAUGGAAACUGCACAUCUCAAAUUUCCCAUCAGGACUGAAGGACCUAGUCCCCCACAGGCUGAAGACAGUCACCUUACCCAACUUCAUGCUCUCUUCCAGGGGCAGCCUGCAUCCAACAACUUGUCAGCACAGGACUAUAAAGGCCUUACCCUUUGCCUCUGUGAAGCAUCCCACAGAGAGGUGCAUCCACCUCUGAAGGUACAUCCCAGCUUCAGGCUCCCAGUCACUUUGGGCUUACCCAGCCUCUUCGUCUGCCCUGCUUUUCUCCCUCCCCUUCCUUCCUGCAGGUUUGGAUCCUGAGAGCACUCCCUAAUAAACCUCAUGCCCACAAAUCUCUAUCUUGGAAUCUGCUUCUUCGGAACCAAAUCUGGGACAGAUCAAUUUACAAAGAUAGAAGGGUUUAGGAAGGCAAAAGGGUUUCUGUUACCAUGUCUAGGCCUGAAGGGACAAAGAGAGGAACUUGGAGCAAGAGCCAUAUGGAAAAAACAAUCUGAAAGAUUGUAGGGAUUCUGGCAGAAGCACAAGGCCAAGCCCUGGCAAUCCCCACCUCACAUCCCUCCGCUCUUUCAUCUCCCCUUAGUGCCUCCCAUUGUAGAACCAAACUGGAAGUGGUGGUCAGUGGAUUCCUUUGUCUGUUUCUUAUAGGUCAGCCUCCUGGGGCAGAGAGCAUGUUAGAGUGUGGAUUUGGAGGUGCAAAUGAAAGUUACCCUGUAGCCCACUUGACUCUGUAGAUUUCUUUUUCUCUUACAGAAAAUAAAUUAAAUUAUGUAUCUUCUUUAGAGAUAGGGUAUGACUUCUAUUUUGAGUUAUCUGUGUCAUUUAAUUAAUAUACAAAUAAAAUGACAUGACAGAAAAUACUUACUUGAAUACAAAGGACAAGUAAUUAGAUCUUAGAUAAUAAAUCCAUCCCUUUAGAUAAGACUUUAGGCAAAUGGAUUUAUAAGUAAAAGCAAUAGGAAAACUUGCUACCUAAGCAUGAAAAAUGAUGUUCCUGAUAAAUUCCUGGAAGGAAGCUGGUGUCAGCCCCCAACUCCUUUCUAGGCCUCUACCAGCCUAUAUUCCAAAUGGCCCUGCCAUGGCUCUUCUUUUCUUAAGAUUUGAUCUUUCUCCAGGCAUGGAUGAACCACAUGUAAGACAUUUAAACAGCCCAGGUGCCAAAUUUAGUAGGGCUUAGGAUUACACAACAUUCCCAAACCUGGGAUCUGAAGGGCCAGGUGCUGACCAACAGGAUCCCAAAUUCAUCCCAGGGGCUCUUUGACCGAUAACCAGAAUGUGAAUUCAACUGCUGGAUGACCCCAUGCAAAGCUCUCCCUGGCGCUGAGUAAUCCAGUUCCCUUUUCAUUAAAAGCCAUCUACUUUCCCAGGAGGGGGAAUCCUUCUGCACAGCCCAUUCCUAUGACUAAGCUCUGUGUUCACAAGGAAGAUCUCCUCUCAGUCCUGCUAUGCCCCCACUGCUGAGCUUGGAACCCCAAUACUAAGUAUAGCCUGUGUCACAAUUGUUCUUGCUGAGAUCUUCUACUAUUGCCUGAACACAACUCAUUCCUGAUCCCCUCUAGUGAGUAUGUCCCUGGCCAUUUUUCAGCACUUUUAUCCUCUUUUCUUGCUCUGAGUUUUCAUGGACAGGGUAUCUAGGAAAAGGAAAAGGAAGAAGGAAUAAAUCAAAUGCCUACAGACCUUCAAAGAGUGCUCCAAAGCCAGUGUAAAGCACUGGGGAACAGUGAGGAUUAGGGCAAAAUAUUUCUUAUAAUGUUCUGAGUUUCAUGAGUUGAAGGCUUUAGUGCUUAAUGUCCAAAUGAUGCAAAUGAAAACACCCUUUCAUUCUUCUUUUCCUUUUUAAAAAACAAGGAAGAAGACAGUCAAAGCCUCAGUCUAUACUAUAUUUACACUUGACUCAAAUGCAUUAAUAACAUUGUAGACUAAGGAGGUAUCUGGGGGAAAAAUAGUUUUGUGAUUUAACUGUAGUGCAAAUUUUACCUAGUAAAAGGUUUUUGAUAUUUAUCCUCAGAGAAGAUCUA
Molecule: long non-coding RNA, 3374 nt
Filed under: Homo sapiens (human)
Lineage: Eukaryota; Metazoa; Chordata; Mammalia; Primates; Hominidae
Description: HSALNT0114487
Source: RNAcentral